This 914-nucleotide ribosomal RNA is filed under the name uncultured marine archaeon. RNAcentral's name for it is "bacterial SSU rRNA". It matches the Rfam family "Archaeal small subunit ribosomal RNA", at positions 1 to 921 of the family's 1478-position model. The record is from RNAcentral.
UUCCGGUUGAUCCUGCCGGACCUGACUGCUAUCGGAUUGAUACUAAGCCAUGCGAGUCGAGAGUCUUAGGGACUCGGCGUACCGCUCAGUAACACGUGGGUAACCUGCCCUAUGCUGGGGAAUAACCUCGGGAAACUGAGAAUAAUGCCCCAUAGUUCACUACGCCUGGAACGGUGAGUGGAUGAAAGCUCCGGCGGCAUAGGAUGGGCCUGCGGCGUAUCAGGUCGUAGGGGGUGUAACGUACCCUCUAGCCAUCGACGCGUACGGGUGUUGGGAGACAUAGCCCGGAGAUGGAUUCUGAGACACGAAUCCAGACCCUACGGGGUGCAGCAGGCGCGAAAACUUGGCAAUGCGAGAAAUCGUGACCAGGGAACUCCAAGUGGCUGGGGUAAGACCCAGUCUUUUCUUGACUCUUCAAAGGUCUUGGAAUAAGAGGUGGGUAAGGACGGUGCCAGCCGCCGCGGUAAUACCGGCGCCUCAAGUGGUAGUCGAUUUUAUUGGGCCUAAAACGUCCGUAGCCUGUUUGGUACAUUCGUGGGUAAAUCAACCAGCUCAACUGGUUGAAUUCUGCGAGCACGGCCAGACUUGGGACCGGGAGAGGUGUGGGGUACGCUCAGGGUAGGGGUAAAAUCCUGUCAUCCUGAGCGGACCACCUGUUGCGAAGGCGCCACACUAGAACGGAUCCGACGGUCAGGGACGAAGCCUAGGGGCACGAACCGGAUUAGAUACCCGGGUAGUCCUAGGUGUAAACGCUGUGGACUUGGUGUUGGGGAUUCUCCGAGGAUUCUCAGUGCCGAAGCGAAGGUGAUAAGUCCACUGCCUGGGGAGUACGGUCGCAAGACUGAAACUUAAAGGAAUUGGCGGGGGAGCACCGCAACCUGAGGAUUGUGCGGUUUAAUUGGAUUCAACGCCGG